UGUGGUGGAAAGAUUUAUCGGUGCAGGAUGGGCCCGCGGCCUAUCAGCUUGUUGGUGGGGUAAUGGCCUACCAAGGCGACGACGGGUAGCCGACCUGAGAGGGUGACCGGCCACACUGGGACUGAGACACGGCCCAGACUCCUACGGGAGGCAGCAGUGGGGAAUAUUGCACAAUGGGCGGAAGCCUGAUGCAGCGACGCCGCGUGAGGGAUGAAGGCCUUCGGGUUGUAAACCUCUUUCAGCAGGGACGAAGCGUGAGUGACGGUACCUGCAGAAGAAGCACCGGCUAACUACGUGCCAGCAGCCGCGGUAAUACGUAGGGUGCGAGCGUUGUCCGGAAUUACUGGGCGUAAAGAGUUCGUAGGCGGUUUGUCGCGUCGUUUGUGAAAACCCGGGGCUCAACUUCGGGCUUGCAGGCGAUACGGGCAGACUUGAGUGUUUCAGGGGAGACUGGAAUUCCUGGUGUAGCGGUGAAAUGCGCAGAUAUCANGAGGAACACCGGUGGCGAANGCGGGUCUCUGGGAAACAACUGACGCUGAGGAACGAAAGCGUGGGUAGCAAACAGGAUUAGAUACCCUGGUAGUCCACGCCGUAACGGUGGGCGCUAGGUGUGGGUUCCUUCCACGGGAUCUGUGCCGUA
Molecule: ribosomal RNA, 640 nt
Filed under: unidentified microorganism
Description: bacterial SSU rRNA
Rfam family: Bacterial small subunit ribosomal RNA
Source: RNAcentral